UCGUUAUUAAGUCUUUCCACUUUUCUGUGGAAAGACUUAUUGUUUUUCUUCUUCUGAUUUUUAUUUUUUUUUCCGCCAAAUUUUGUUCUUGCGAUAAAUGUUUGUUUCGCAAUAUGUCGCUUAGAUAUUUCUCAUAUGGUAUCGUAUAGUUUAUGCGCUUUUAAAUUUCACCCUGCUAAGCCGAACUAUUUUCUUUGUAAGAGUUAUCUCCCUAUUCACUGUUUACUAUCAGAGUGCAUCUCCUUCGUAACCAAAAAAGAUAGCGACAAAUUUCUUUUUACAAAUUGUUCGUUACAUCCUCAGGAAUUUUUG
This 312-nucleotide long non-coding RNA is filed under the name Mytilus galloprovincialis (Mediterranean mussel). Lineage: Eukaryota; Metazoa; Mollusca; Bivalvia; Mytilida; Mytilidae. The record is from RNAcentral.